Molecule: ribosomal RNA, 799 nt
Filed under: uncultured Glomus
Lineage: Eukaryota; Fungi; Glomeromycota; Glomeromycetes; Glomerales; Glomeraceae
Description: SSU rRNA
Rfam family: Eukaryotic small subunit ribosomal RNA
Source: RNAcentral
AUCAACUUUCGAUGGUAGGAUAGAGGCCUACCAUGGUGGUAACGGGUAACGGGGUGUUAGGGCACGACACCGGAGAGGGAGCCUGAGAAACGGCUACCACAUCCAAGGGUGGCAGCAGGCGCGCAAAUUACCCAAUCCCGACACGGGGAGGUAGUGACAAUAAAUAACAAUACGGGGUUCUUUAGGAUCUCGUAAUUGGAAUGAGUACAAUUUAAAUCUCUUAACGAGGAACAAUUGGAGGGCAAGUCUGGUGCCAGCAGCCGCGGUAAUUCCAGCUCCAAUAGCGUAUAUUAAAGUUGUUGCAGUUAAAAAGCUCGUAGUUGAAUUUCGGGGUUAGUAGGUUGGUCAUGCCUCUGGUAUGUACUGGUCUCACUGAUUCCUCCUUCCUGAUGAACCUUAAUGCCAUUUAUUUGGUGUUUUGGGGAAUUUGGACUGUUACUUUGAGAAAAUUAGAGUGUUUAAAGCAAGCUAACGCUUGAAUACAUUAGCAUGGAAUAAUGAAAUAGGACGUUCGAUCCUAUUUUGUUGGUUUCUAGGAUUGACGUAAUGAUUAAUAGGGAUAGUUGGGGGCAUUAGUAUUCAAUUGUCAGAGGUGAAAUUCUUGGAUUUAUUGAAGACUAACUACUGCGAAAGCAUUUGCCAAGGAUGUUUUCAUUAAUCAAGAACGAAAGUUAGGGGAUCGAAGACGAUCAGAUACCGUCGUAGUCUUAACCAUAAACUAUGCCGACUAGGGAUCGGAUGAUGUUAAUUUUUUAAUGACUCAUUCGGCGCCUUACGGGAAACCAAAGUGUUUGGGUUC